GCUCCCUAGGACCGCUAUGGUGCUGAAGGCGCUGCAGUCUACUUUGGUGAGUGGUUGUUUAGUAUUUGUUUUGUCGUUUCUUCUUCACAGAAGAAUGCAGCAAAGAAAACCAAAAAGUUAUGUAUCUUAAGAAAACAAUAUGGAAAAAGCUAUUACAGCAGUAAGGGAAAUGUUUGUGGGAACAUUUAAAGCUACAAGAAUGUUCAAAAUAACACACACACAGCAUUAUACACCUUUCCAAAACAAAACACACCAACACAAACAGUUUUAGAAGAUUCAGUAGAGGAGUAGCUGAUGAAGUUCUUUACUUGGGAUAAAUAUUUACACCAAGGUACUGUCUAAUGAAACAUUAUUAGUUAAUUUUGUAUUAACACACAGUAUUCUGUUGAUAGGACAGUGACAUCUUCAUUUCUUUAUGAUAUAUUACUGUACACUGAUAUGAAUAAAUGUAAUAUUGAAAUUAA
Molecule: long non-coding RNA, 464 nt
Organism: Zootermopsis nevadensis
Lineage: Eukaryota; Metazoa; Arthropoda; Insecta; Blattodea; Termopsidae
Source: RefSeq, a predicted model, not a curated record